Long non-coding RNA from Arabidopsis lyrata subsp. lyrata, 500 nucleotides. RefSeq lists it as uncharacterized. The record is from RefSeq and is a predicted model, not a curated record. The transcript has 2 exons. Lineage: Eukaryota; Viridiplantae; Streptophyta; Magnoliopsida; Brassicales; Brassicaceae.
GACUCUUUCAUUUUCUCUCUUCUCUAGAUUCCGUCGAGACUCUUUCGUCUUCUUCUUCUUCCCUCUUCACUCGUUUCUAUCGAUCCAAAGAUCCGUCCUCUCUCUUCUUCUCCGUGAGAAAUCCGCCCUGAAAUCGAGGAAUCCGCCGUGAGAACUCCCCGUGUCUUCUCUUUAAAAUAGAGAUGGAUACGAGUAUGUUCGGUUCGUCUUUUGGUUUCUUAGGUUGAUAAAUAGAAGGAGAAGGCGAGGGAGCAUGAGCAAGAGAAUGAAUAUGAGAAAAAGAAGGAGAAUAAGAUUUGGUGGUUGAGUUUUUAGAUACAAUUGUGUUCAGUUUGUCUUUUUGUUUCUUAUGUUGAUGUAUAAAUUUAAGUGUUUAGGUACAACUGGUACGCUCAGGUACAACUAUGUAUCUGGGUUUAUGAUUUUUUGAUAAAAAAAAACUAUCCAAUUAUGUAUGAAUCUAUGAAUCUUAAUCUUAACAUCUUUAUGUGUGAAUAUAA